Molecule: long non-coding RNA, 4646 nt
Organism: Pan troglodytes (chimpanzee)
Lineage: Eukaryota; Metazoa; Chordata; Mammalia; Primates; Hominidae
Exons: 7
Source: RefSeq, a predicted model, not a curated record
AAUUCACAGUUAGAACCCCAGCUGCAAGUGAGACUGGAAAAAUGGCUCUCAGAGUUCCCACCUCUGCAGUAGAGGAAGACACUCCAGAAGGAGUUGAGAAUGGGUGCUGAGUGCCUCUUCAGGAUGUCUGUCACACCUCAGGAAACCUGCCAGGAAUACCAAAGGGAGUGAAAAAUCCAAGGUUGGGAAGCCCUGGGACAUUGAAGUUACAACUGGAUGAUAAAAACAGAGUUUUUUCCUUGUGACGUGACCACUGUGAUGUAAAGCUGUAUCUCCUUCAUUUCAUCAAGAAAUUCUUAAAGUUCUCCCCCAGCUUGCUUUCAUCUUUCCCUUCAUUGCCAACUCUGAAUACUUGUCAUUGAAAUUAGGGCCCACCUGGCUAAUCCAUGAUGAUCUCAUCUCAAGAUCCUUAACUUAAUGACAUCUGCAGAGACUGGUUUAUCAAAUAAGACACAGCAUAACAAGUAUCUCCUUUUUAAGCACAGGAUGUGGGAUGAUUGCAAAUAAAAUGUGCUUUCAGACACAAGUUUCAAGGGAUAGAUAACUCCUUCACAUCUGCAGGCCUAGUUGGAGAAGUAUUAAUAUUUGAUGCUUCUGCUCCUGCAAGCCAUUUGGUAUGCCAGUCAGCUGGGCUGUGUGUUCCGUGCUAUGGCCUGUGAGAUGUACAAUGUCAUCACAUGGCUAUUCGGCAGGGUCAGUGGGAAACAUGAGAAAUGAUAAGUUAGUUGCAUAUGAAAUAUGUGCAGAAAAGAAAAGCUGAGCAGUCCUUCCACAGAGCAUGCACAAAGUACUGCUGCUUGUGCUACAACAGUUAUGUCAUUUAUUAUAAAGUAUAUGUUAUGGUUAAUACUGAGCGUCAACUUGAUUGGAUUGAAGGAUACGAAGUAUUGAUCCUGGGUGUGUCUGUUGAGGGUGUUGCCAAAGGAGACUAACAUUUGAGUCAGUGGGCUGGAAAGGCAGACCCACCCUUAAUCUGGGUGGGCACAAUCUAAUCAGCUGCCAGCACGGCCAAAAUAAAAAGCAGGCAGAGAAAUGUGAAAAGACUAGACUGGCUUAGCCUCCCAGCCCACAUCUUUCUCCUGUGCUGGAUGCUUCCUGCCCUUGAACAUCAGACUCCAAGUUCUUCAGCUUUCGGACUUAGGCUGGCUUCCUUGUUCCUGAGCUUGCAGACGGCAUAUUGUGGGACCUUGUGAUCCUGGACUGUGGCUAUAUCGCUGACCUCAAGAAAACCUGCGGACAAAAUCUGCUAAAGAAGUAUCAGCAUCUAUUUCAAAAGUUAGCCAUUAUUUUAAGAAGACUGUGCUGGAAGACGGGUAUUUAACACAAACAGAUGCAAAAGAUACGGGGUUUCACCGUGUUGACCAGACUGAUUUUGAACUCCUGGGCUCAAUCGGUCCACCUGCCUCGGCCUCCCAAAGUGCUGAGAUUAUAGGUGUGAGCCCCUGCGCCUGGCCAGGGAUGCCGUUCUUCACUCUCCAGUUGGUUUCCCUCCAAGCUGGGAUUUGAACUCUCUUAUCUCCAGGGUUAGGGUUGGAGAUGGAGUUGUAAGGACAGAAAGGGAAGAGGAAUACACACAUUUUUAGCUGAUGGACUUGGCCCCAGCUUUGCAGGCUAACUGAAACUCCCAAGGCCUUGAGAUUUUUGAAAACUGCCAUAUUUCCUCUAGUUGAAGACUCGUUUUAUAUUUUUUCACAUGUUAACAUUUAUGAAAUUGGGAUGUGUAAUGUAUGCCCUGUCAAAAAAUUUUCCAGCAGCCAUUUAGAGGAGUGACACACCAACGUGGCCUGCCUGGCCUGUGGCCACACCUCCUUAGCCAGCUUCGUGGAAGUAUCUGUUCAUCCAUUUUGUCAUUUUGUUUUGUUAUUUUCAUUGGUGGCACAGCACCCUGUUAACUUAGAUUCAUGCCCCUAAUUGCCACUGAAAGUGUCUUUCACAAAGAUAACUCUGCUUUACAGCAUUGGAGCAAAAGUCACCAUGCGUGCAAAAGAUUGCCUGGCACAUGCCAGGCAUUAGGCAUCGCCCCCACUGCACAGAGUAAAUGACACACUUUUCAAAGCAAGGGGAAAUUGGUAUGACUACUUCAUGCACCAUUAAAAACAAAAAACUAUUAUUCAGGCUCCAAAAUCUUUAAAAGCUUCUAGUGAUUUUCAAAAGAAGCUGCUUAAUGUUUAUCUUUAAAAUAAGGAAAAACAGAAUUAUAAGUUUAGCUGAAGAGGAAAUGCCAAUAAACCACUAGGAUUCUCUAUGAUGCCCUCAAAUUACAUUGUCAAUCUUAAGUGUGCUGACGAGGCCAAGCUCAUAAGCAUGGCCGGAAACUGGCAUUCUCCAUACCGCUGUGAGUAACUGUGGGUGUCCAAAAUCAUGUGGAAGAAUAUUUAGUCUCUGAUAAUGAAACAGGCCAGAGUUAAACUUUGGUAAUGAAAGCAGCAUAUAAUGGCAUGGAUAAGUGAAUUCUAAAGUCAUUUAAGAAGACACACAGUAAGAUGUGCCUCUCUCUCUCUCUCUCUCUCUUUCUCUGUCUCUUCCUUUCUUUUCCUCCCUUUUUUCUUUCUUUUUUUUUGGCGGGGGACAGAGUUUCAUUCUUGUUGCUCAGGCUGGAGUUCAAUGGCACGAUCUUGGCUCACCGCAACCUCUGCCUACUGGAUUCAAGUGAUUCUCCUGCCUCAGCCUCCCGAGUAGCUGGGAUUACAGGCAUGCGCCACCACGCCCGGCUAAUUUUGUAUUUUUAGUAGAGACGGGGUUUCUCCAUGUUGGUCAGGCUGGUCUUGAACUCUUGACCUCAGGUGAUCCACCUGCCUCAGCCUCCCAAAGUGCUGGGAUUACAGGCGUGAGCCACCGCGCCAGGCCCCUCCCUUCUUUGUUUCUAAUCUCUCUUCCUUCCUUCUUUUCUUUCUUUCUCCCACUGAAAUGCUGCUAUUAAAUUGAUAGAGUAUCUUAUAAUUGAUGGUAUCUUAGAAUUGGGGAAAUAGAGUGUUUGUCAGGCUGCUUGACUUAGCAGCUGAGGGUUGAAGGGAUGGAGGUAAUUUCAAAUCAGCGAGAUUACUGGAUUUCUUUUUAAAAGGUGCUGAUGAGAUAGAAUCACCAUAACAGAGUCAAGCGCAGAUAAAAAAGAUCAGCAAAGGCCAGGUUCCCUCAACUUAUUUUGAAUGGAUGGAGAAAUGGUGAAUCUUGGGUUUGUGAGUAUGACCAGUGGGUCAUACGGGCAGAAAAGCAAGCGGCAGUCUCAAAAGCAGAGGGCAUUUAGAAUCCAAGGUUCAAGCUGGAAGAGAUCUUGGUCACCUCCUUGUUGAAUGCCUCAAUUGAAUGGAUGAGGAAAAUGGGCUCAUAUGGCAGAAAUAAUCUGUAGAGCUAGGACAGGAUCCUAGGUGUCCAGCCCCCUGUUCUACGGAUUUUCAUUUGGAGAAGUCAGUCAUGUACCUGCCUCAGGGCCUUUGCACCUCUUUUCUCUUUGCCCAGAUCAUUCUUCCCCUAAAUAGCCACAUGGCUUUCUUCCUCAUCUCCUUCAAGUUUUUGCUUAAAUUUCAGUUUGUCAAUGAGGUCUUCUCUGACCAUUUAGACCAGAAUAUGCCACCUUAAAAUAUGACUAUGGAAGACCAGAAUAUGCCACCCCAAAAUAUGCUUCUUGGGCAUAAGGAUUAUUUUGAGCUGAUUAUUUUGAGAAACUGCAGACACAGGAGUUCUAAUCUGAAAACAGAUCCCUGUGCAGGGGAAAUCUAUAUCUAUAAAGGAAGUCUCUGCUUGUAAGAGUAUCUCCCUCUCAGUAUCAGGGCAAGAAGGAUGCGUGGAAGUCACUGGAGACUCUUGUCAAUGAAGCAGGUGCUGACUUAAUUCUGCAAAACAAACCUUACCCUUGUCUACCCUGAGUUUCCUGGUGACCUCCCCACAGCACUCCAACCAGCAAUGCAGGAGAGCUGAGGUCUCGGCAUCCUCAUUCACACCUGGUAUUGCCAGUUCUUUCUUUUUAAUGUUAGCCAUUCUCAUAGGUGUUUGUAUUUUCAACUUACACUUCCUUAAUUACUGAUGAUGUUGAUCUUUUCAUGUUUAAUAGGGUGGAAACAAAGUUAAACAGAUUUCUCUACUGCAGCAGGACUCAGAGCUUUUUUGAAUUGCCUGACGGGCAGAUUGCUGGGAAUUCUUUUUCUAUGGUCAAGUAAAGAUUACAAGGCUAGAAUUCCAGCGAAGCUAUUUUGGCAAAUACUGACCUACAUGAUUGAAGGGGUCCAGAAUAUGCCACCCCAAAAUAUGCCACUUUGACAUACGGUUUAUUUUGGGCUGCAAGCGAUUGAAAAUGAGCAGAUGCAGGAUGAAUCCUCUGCUCUCUUUUUCUACCUGAAAACAGGGCGUAACAUUCCCUUUGUGGAAGGUGUUCCUCGACUCCCAUAGCAGGAAGUGUAGAGCAACUCUUACCAUCAAAGAUGGACAGUCAGCAUUGAGAUGAGUCUGCAUAAACAAACUUUUUUUUUUUAAAGUUUGUUCCAUUAAUCUCCCCCAUGUAUUUGCUAGUCACUUUCCCACAAUGUAUCAUCCCUUUCCUUUGUUAAGAUGAUAUAUACGUCCCUGAGCCUAAUCACUUGGCAUUUCACUACUUUUCUGUGAACUCCUAUGCACGUAAAAAUAUAAAUACAUUUGUAUUCCUUUUCUCCUGU